This is a long non-coding RNA of Agrilus planipennis (emerald ash borer), 1452 nucleotides long. RefSeq lists it as uncharacterized. The transcript is spliced from 3 exons. The record is from RefSeq and is a predicted model, not a curated record. Lineage: Eukaryota; Metazoa; Arthropoda; Insecta; Coleoptera; Buprestidae.
AGGAUUAUUAAUUAAAGUAUUUCUGUACAUUAUUUAAAGUCAAUGACAUUACGCAAAGCGUUAUAGUCAUGCAGACGUACAAAAUACGUAAUACGUAUACCCACACUGGUAUCAUGACAAAACUGAACUUAUUAUAAAGUUAAAACACAUCAACGUUUGGGCUAUUAUUGUAUUAUACCGGGUACGAUUAGAAAUUAGUACCGCGCGCUCGAGUACAAGACAGGGAUUCAGUUUCAUGGAAUUGUUAGCUGUAUGGCGUCACGGAAAAUUUUAAUGUUUAUACUUCCAAAAUGUACGUAUAUACCGAAGUUAAUGUAAGCAUCACUAAUGAUAAUUUUAAUUACGGAAAAAAGAAAGAAAUUAAUACGUUAUAAUACGAAUUAGGGACGAGCUGGGUAUCCAGUUUGGAUGCGGUAUCCGGCGGAUCCUGCAGGUUUUUCAGAAUGCGACCGGGUAGCGGAUAAUGACGCCGAGUACGCGUACCCGGCAGUGCCGGAUAAUUCUCCCAGAGAAAAAAGGAAAAAUCUACCUAAUAGAGUUUGUACUGGGAUAGGUACUUUGUCUGAAUUUAUAUUAUUGAUUGCUACUCUAAAUUAUUUGUGAUUUCGAUAUAAUUCUUGUGUUCACUUUUUCUUGUGACCAAGAAAACUUUAGCAUGUUACAAUUUUUGCUAUAUCAGGUUAUGAGGUUUUGAUUAUCAAUAACUUAUUAGUAUGAUUUUGCCACCUUACAGACAUUUAGUGUUCAUAAACAUUGAAACCUCGUUUCAACAGUUUCAACUCAAACCUUUCGUUGAUAAUCCGCCAACUAAGAAUUAAAAUUUCAUUGGUUUGGUAAUUGAACAAUUUGGAAUGGGACUGAAUGUAGUUUGGGACGUUAGUGGGGGUGGUAUUUAAUGAGAUAUGAACCAUUAACCGUGUAUCUCCUUCCCUCCUGCCAAACUUCUACUUCAAAUUCAAAUGGAAGGAAAGGAUGGUUUAAAAAGGACAAGAAAAUAGCAGAAAAGCGAAAAGAAUAAAAAUGUUUGUAAAUAUCAAACCAAGAAUUGUAAAUAUAUUUAGCUGUUGGAGAUAUAAAUAUCUUUUCACUUACGCCAAAACACCACUGGCAAAUUUUGGCGGCCCGGACAAAUGUCCGAGUUGGCUGCCCCCACAGAGGACACAGGAAGCAUUCUAGUAACAACCUACGUCAGGAUCUUCAGGAAUACACGCUCAUGCGAUAUACAAAAAUUGGAGUUAAUCCUUUGUUUUCCAAGGUGUCUGCAAAUGCUUAACUCUGAUAGAGAGCUGAUUCUAAUACAAAAAAAAAUAAAUCGGUUGAUGUUUCGACCUACCUUUCGAAUAAAUAUUAAGUUCUUUGUUUAAAUGUGUAUUUUAGUAAAACUAGUUUCUCUUAUAAACAGAAGGUCUAAUAAUGGUCGGCUACUUUUGCUGUUUGCAACAUCGUUGUCUG